This 67-nucleotide transfer RNA is filed under the name Tetraponera aethiops. Its description in RNAcentral is "tRNA-Phe". Lineage: Eukaryota; Metazoa; Arthropoda; Insecta; Hymenoptera; Formicidae. The record is from RNAcentral.
AUUUAAAUAGCUUAUAAUUAAAGUUUAGUAUUGAAGAUACUAAGAAAAUAUGAAUUAUUUUUGAAUA